RNAcentral lists this long non-coding RNA (1095 nucleotides) under Homo sapiens (human). Its description in RNAcentral is "non-protein coding lnc-TNC-21:7". The record is from RNAcentral. Lineage: Eukaryota; Metazoa; Chordata; Mammalia; Primates; Hominidae.
GUAAUAGGUGGAGUCACAAAAGGAGAGGCUGCAGGACCAGACCAGAGUCCCCUGUGCCCUAACGUCUCCUCUCCCCCUUUACCAGCUCUGGCCUUGCAGCCUGUUUCUUCAUCUGAAAAAAAGAAGGAAAAAUAAUACCAAACUCAGAAAGACUUCAUGAGGAUCGAGUCUGUUUGAAUUGCUUUUCAUUGCACCUUCUAAAUGUAAGUGCUCAGCAAAUGAUAGGUGUUUUUAAUAAUACAACUCUCAGUAACUUCAUUGGCGCUGCUAUCGAGACUAUCUGCAGUGAUGUGGAUAAUUUCCUCUGCAUCUACAGCCUUCAUCCACUUCAGAAACUCAUGAUGGGGAACUGCGACAUGAAGAAGUUAACUUACCUAAGAUCAGAGAAUGAGUCAAGGACAGAACAGGACCAUGUCAUCAAAUUUAGAGAAACUUGAACUAUGCAGAAAAGAGAUGGGAUUCUUCUGUGGCUGUGCUGCUCACUCAAGGGAGUCUGAACCAUUUUGACCAGGAAAAGCCAAAGGAAAGGCCACUGCCAAGGGCAGACCACACAUUGCCUGAAGUCAUUGUUCUCCAUUCCAGCCCCAAGAACUCUGCGAGAUCGAUGAAAGCAUACAUUGAGAAAUAAAAGUCAUGAGAAAAUUUUACAAAUUAGCUAGCUUUCAUUUCCUGUUGGCUUUUCCAGCACAUGCUUGGCACCAGAUGAGAGUAAUGUGGUAAUGCAGUAAAAUAUCCCUGUGAGACACUAUCUGCUUAGAGACAGGAGGCAGUGAGAUGCUUUAGCCCUUGAUGUCCUAAGGGCCUGUCUGGACAUCGUGAGGUUUUCUCAGAAGCCAAUGUAAUAGACUUUUUGUCAUAUCAAGUUUGUUUUUUAGGGAAUUUCAAGGCAUCAACAUUAUCUAUAUUUCCACUGCCGGCUCUGAUUUGGAAAUGCCAGUAAAGUUGGUGUGCUUUAUAUUUACUUGAUCUCUAAAAAAAUGUGUGAGCUCAAUCUUGUCUUGUCCUAACUGGCAUAAUUAUUCAUCACGGAUGCGUUUCGUGGGAUUAGAACCAGUAACAGGAAGUCACAGUGUGCCCUAUUUUAACAAAAACAAA